GUGUCUGGGUCACUGUUGCUAGGCAGAUUAAGCCCUCCACAGCCAGAAGCUUCUGGCAUUGGGGGUGGACGGUAGUGUUGGGUCUGCUCCAACAGGUUCCCUGUUGCUGGGGUCAGACUCCAUGGGGGCAGGCAGUCAGGGAAGCUGCUUUGCAGAAGGCCACAUGCCCUGUGUGGGUUGGGGGAAGCUGAGCCCAGGAGCAGGAAGCAGGUUGUUGUCCCGAGCUCUGAAACACUUUGCAGCAGGUAACUGAGCGGUUGGUUAAUCAGUCAGCUGACUGGCUAGCAGUGAUUUCAGCAGAGGAAGAGUCUGAUUCCAACUGAAGAUCCCUACAAGCCAGGGGAGGGAAGAUGUUGUUUUAGACUCAGCAAAUUGAUAGAUUUGGUGAUCAAAGACUCUGAGACUUAGAACUAACCAGGAUGCUCCUAGAUUAUGCAGAAGUGACAAGAGAGGCAGAGAUUUCAGUAGUGCUGCCUGCUAUGUACAGCACCAUAUAGAAAACAGUCCAGUCAAAGAACUACGAAUUCCUCUCUGAGUCAUUUUCUCCUGUGAUGGGAUUUAAAUAUACCUCCCCCUUUCGAACCAGAAAGACUUAAUGAAGGCACAAGCCCACAGGUCAGGAAACUUAGCUUAUCUUUCUCUCUGUGUUGGUGCCUGUAAAUUCUGAAGCAAGAAAGUGUUUGUUUCCCCCCACAAAGCCUCCUUUUAUCCCCCCCCAGCUCAUUAAGUCAAAUGCCUUCCCUGUCUCCUUACAAGACUGUGAUGUCAUGGAGCUGAGGGCUGGUUUAAAAAAAGAAACAGCCCACCCUGCCAGCCCAUUCACACAGAGAGCCCUUUAAAAAAAAAAAAGCGCUAUGCCUCAAUGCAAUAAAACAGCACAAUUUACCUUAAAGACUGAGCCAACCUGUCAGCAUUACCUUCCCAUACUUCACGCGGGCAAGGUGCUCAAUGAACUGCUUGCAGACAGCAUUGGUAGGAAUUUUUUUCUGGUGCCUUUAAGUGAAAAAAAAAAUCGCAGCACGUCUCUUUGCAUCAGCAAAGAAACAAUUAGAGGUACGGUCAUAGUGAAAGACACGAGCCACGUGCAACAUUUCACAGCAACUGAGAAAUAACUAACAGGUUGCCUUUAUUCCUCCCACAAAUGGAGAGGCUUAAAUGCCAGCGGCAAAAUUUGGGGCCAGCCUAGUGACCUUGUGGUUACUGCGGAAUUGGAUUAAAGCAUGAUGGGAUUCUGAACACGAAAAGCAGAAGUAGAAGCUACAUUGCCAGGGUGCUCUCUGUGAGGGCUCUGGGACUCCGGAACUUGUUCCCUGCCCUGAUCCAAAAUAGCCUGAAUUUGGUGAUUUUCCAGGCAAACACAACACAAAAUACAAAGUGUAUAGUGCUCACUUUAUACUAAUAUUUUUAUUACAAAUAUUUGCACUGUAAAAAGAUAAACAAAAGAAAUAGUAUUUUUCAAUUCAUCUCAUACAAGUCCACUCAGUCCUACUUCUUGUUCAGCAACUGCUAAGACAAACUUGUUCGUUUACAUUUAUGGGACAUAAUGCUGCUUGCUUUUUAUUUACAAUGCCACCCGCAAGUGAGAACAGGUGUUUGCAUGGCACUUUUGUAGCCAGCGUUGCAAGGUAUUUAUGUGCCAGGUGCGCUAAACAUUCAUAUGCCUAUUCAUGCUUCAACUUGUAGGCUCUAAAGUUUUACAUUGUUUUGUUUUUGCAGUUUACAUAAAAAAAGUAGUAAUUCUACAUUUGUAAGUUGCAUUUUCAUGAUAAAGAGAUUGUACUAUAGUACUUGUAUGCGUUGAACUGAAAAAUAUUUGUUUAUCUUUUUUACAGUGCAAAUAUUU
Long non-coding RNA from Dermochelys coriacea (leatherback sea turtle), 1843 nucleotides. RefSeq lists it as uncharacterized. The transcript has 3 exons. The record is from RefSeq and is a predicted model, not a curated record. NCBI's taxonomy places the organism in Eukaryota, Metazoa, Chordata, Testudines, Dermochelyidae.